UACGAAGGGGACUAGCGUUGUUCGGAAUCACUGGGCGUAAAGCGCACGUAGGCGGAUGUGUCAGUCAGGGGUGAAAUCCCGGGGCUCAACCUCGGAACUGCCUUUGAUACAGAACGUCUCGAGUCCGGAAGAGGUGGGUGGAAUUCCUAGUGUAGAGGUGAAAUUCGUAGAUAUUAGGAAGAACACCGGUGGCGAAGGCGGCCCACUGGUCCGGUACUGACGCUGAGGUGCGAAAGCGUGGGGAGCAAACAGG
Molecule: ribosomal RNA, 253 nt
Filed under: uncultured bacterium
Lineage: Bacteria
Description: partial 16S ribosomal RNA
Rfam family: Bacterial small subunit ribosomal RNA
Source: RNAcentral